GAUGAAGAACGUAGCGAAAUGCGAUAAGUAAUGUGAAUUGCAGAAUUCAGUGAAUCAUCGAAUCUUUGAACGCACAUUGCGCCCGCUAGUAUUCUGGCGGGCAUGCCUGUUCGAGCGUCAUUUCAACCCUCAAGCACAGCUUGGUGUUGGGACUCGCGUUAAUUCGCGUUCCUCAAAUUGAUUGGCGGUCACGUCGAGCUUCCAUAGCGUAGUAGUAAAACCCUCGUUACUGGUAAUCGUCGCGGCCACGCCGUUAAACCCCAACUUCUGAAUGUUGACCUCGGAUCAGGUAGGAAUACCCGCUGAACUUAAGCAUAUCAAUAAGCGGAGGA
RNAcentral lists this unclassified non-coding RNA (332 nucleotides) under soil metagenome. Its description in RNAcentral is "partial contains 5.8S ribosomal RNA, internal transcribed spacer 2, and large subunit ribosomal RNA". The stretch from base 1 to 120 matches the Rfam family "5.8S ribosomal RNA", at positions 35 to 154 of the family's 154-position model. The record is from RNAcentral.